AAUGGGGAAACCCAGUGUGUUUCGACACACUAUCAUUAACUGAAUCCAUAGGUUAAUGAGGCGAACCGGGGGAACUGAAACAUCUAAGUACCCCGAGGAAAAGAAAUCAACCGAGAUUCCCCCAGUAGCGGCGAGCGAACGGGGAGGAGCCCAGAGCCUGAAUCAGUGUGUGUGUUAGUGGAAGCGUCUGGAAAGGCGCGCGAUACAGGGUGACAGCCCCGUACACAAAAAUGCACAUAUUGUGAGCUCGAUGAGUAGGGCGGGACACGUGGUAUCCUGUCUGAAUAUGGGGGGACCAUCCUCCAAGGCUAAAUACUCCUGACUGACCGAUAGUGAACCAGUACCGUGAGGGAAAGGCGAAAAGAACCCCGGCGAGGGGAGUGAAAAAGAACCUGAAACCGUGUACGUACAAGCAGUGGGAGCCUCUUAAUGGGGUGACUGCGUACCUUUUGUAUAAUGGGUCAGCGACUUAUAUUCUGUAGCAAGGUUAACCGAAUAGGGGAGCCGAAGGGAAACCGAGUCUUAACUGGGCGUUAAGUUGCAGGGUAUAGACCCGAAACCCGGUGAUCUAGCCAUGGGCAGGUUGAAGGUUGGGUAACACUAACUGGAGGACCGAACCGACUAAUGUUGAAAAAUUAGCGGAUGACUUGUGGCUGGGGGUGAAAGGCCAAUCAAACCGGGAGAUAGCUGGUUCUCCCCGAAAGCUAUUUAGGUAGCGCCUCGUGAAUUCAUCUCCGGGGGUAGAGCACUGUUUCGGCAAGGGGGUCAUCCCGACUUACCAACCCGAUGCAAACUGCGAAUACCGGAGAAUGUUAUCACGGGAGACACACGGCGGGUGCUAACGUCCGUCGUGAAGAGGGAAACAACCCAGACCGCCAGCUAAGGUCCCAAAGUCAUGGUUAAGUGGGAAACGAUGUGGGAAGGCCCAGACAGCCAGGAUGUUGGCUUAGAAGCAGCCAUCAUUUAAAGAAAGCGUAAUAGCUCACUGGUCGAGUCGGCCUGCGCGGAAGAUGUAACGGGGCUAAACCAUG
Molecule: ribosomal RNA, 1031 nt
Filed under: Escherichia coli
Lineage: Bacteria; Pseudomonadati; Pseudomonadota; Gammaproteobacteria; Enterobacterales; Enterobacteriaceae
Description: partial 23S ribosomal RNA
Rfam family: Bacterial large subunit ribosomal RNA
Source: RNAcentral